This is a long non-coding RNA of Gallus gallus (chicken), 1637 nucleotides long. The record is from Ensembl. NCBI's taxonomy places the organism in Eukaryota, Metazoa, Chordata, Aves, Galliformes, Phasianidae.
CGUCGCCGUGGUCCCGCUGCCCCCGGCCCGGCGUGUCUUCUGCCGGGUAAGAGCGGCGGGGCCGGGGGGAGCGGCCUCGGGUUGCACCGGGGGGACGUGCAGGUCGGGUGUGAGGAAAAACUCGCAAAGAGGGUUCUGCCCCUUCCAUUUUCUCUUUCCUUACACAUUGCUGGUUCUUUCUGAUACCUCCUGGAAGCCAGUCCAGUAAUUACUGUAUGGUUUGGUUGAACCUGGUGUUGUCAGCUGCCUAAGACACUAGUGCUGUGACUGCUGGUGCCCUCAGCCACCAUUCAGCUAAGCGCCUUCUCACAUGAGCAAGCCAGGCUUUCAAAGCCUGCAGGCCCUCUGCACAUCUCUUACGGAUUGAUCAGCAGAAGGCAGCCCUGGCAACUUGACUGAGAAGAGAAACCAUUUUUCAGCACUUGCAGAGAGCAGCAAGUGGAGCAUUGUCCAGAGGUGCCAGGACCCAACCAUGCCACUGAGUGGCUUAUUUUCUGGAGCAUAAUAUGGGAUGUGGUUUGGUGCCACUGUUGACUUCAUCUUGCCAGGCAGUCUCACAAAGGAGAAAUGUUGCAUUAGCAUCUGGAUCCUGAAAAAUAAGCUGUUUGCAGUGCUUACAGUGCUGCUCUGAUCCAUCAGUAUGGAUGCAGAUGUCUGUAGUGUAAAGACGGUAAUGAAAAAUAGACGGGAAUCAACUGAGAAUGUAACUGUCUCAGCAUAACUGACUGCAAACAGCAAAGUUCGCUCUGCACCUUUUAAGAGGAACAGAAACCAAAAGCUGUGGGAAUGACUGGGAGAAACAGAAUGGCUUUCACCAUGGGCAACAGUGCCCUUCUGUCUGAUGCCGUGUGAAGUGGCUGCCUCUGGGUGUUUGUGGGUACAUACCCAGGGAUUUGGACACACAUCCCUCAUGUGGGAUCAUGGGAAAAAGGAAGGUCAGCACCACCUCUAAGCUGCUGAGGAACUGCAGGAAAGCUGCAAAUCCCCCUGAGCAAAUCUGGCCUCCUUGGCCAGUCGUUCCUUGCCAAAGGGGCAUCCCAGGGAAGCAGGACCAAGAGCAGUUUGGGUGUGAGCCACAGCCUCUUCUGACCAGCUGUGGUGAUUCUGGUGACCAGUCAAAGCAGAGGAAAAGGUUCAGCAACGGAUGAUGUCCCCAGCCCGCCUAUUCCCUCCUCCUGUGCCUCUGAGGUCCAGUGCAUGGCCAGGCUCGAUGGUAAUCCUAAAGAUGAAGGUGACUGCAGUGCUCUCUUUCUUCUUUCUAACUUUCUUCCUGGGGUGAUGGGGGGGCAUGUGCUGUGUACCCCAACGUGGGUUGCAGGAACAGGGCAGCCCUCAGUCCCCAGGCUGACACUUUGGUGCUGGUGGGUCCCCAGCAUUUGCUGGGGGUUAGUAUGCAAAAACACCAGGGGGAGUAGCAGGACAGGAUUUAAAAUACUGUGAGUGAGGCAGAGCAGAAUGUGAGAGCAGAUGUGAAGGCAACAGAUAUCAGAAAGGAACUGCCAGGUGCUGGGCAGAGCGGUGACGACACUGGUGACAGCACCAAGGCCACAGUGCUGAUAAGGCCACUGCACACACAUGGAGCAAGAGUGAGAUGAUGCAAUCUGGCUCAGUCACCCAUUCCCCAGAAGAUGGAAGAU